Molecule: long non-coding RNA, 3347 nt
Organism: Eriocheir sinensis (Chinese mitten crab)
Lineage: Eukaryota; Metazoa; Arthropoda; Malacostraca; Decapoda; Varunidae
Exons: 6
Source: RefSeq, a predicted model, not a curated record
UCUCAGUUUAGGGUAAGGAAGCCAGUGUUUCUUGGUGUGGGCACAUAAUAUGGGAUUCAUUGUGCUCGUAGUUUAGGGUAAGGGAGCCAGUGUUUCUUGGUGUGAGCACAUAAGAUGGGAUUCAUUGUGAAGUCUGAAUACGUUCUCAAGUUCAAAAGUAAUCAUGGUUAGUUGGUUACCACAAGUACAGCUGCAGCAGAUUAUGGAUGAGGCAGGCAGAGGAAGGGACAGCCGCGGCAUAUACAAGCAUGGGAAAGGCCUUACAAGUGGAGGCGCUGUUUUAUGCAUCAGUGUUCGCGUGUAUAUUUUUAUUAUGUACAUAGAACACUAAAAGAGGGAGUCACACACACACACACACACACACACCUGACUUUUGACCCCGCCACUCAUUUUCACACCGCCACCUUGAAGAAAAAAAAUGUAUAAAUGCUUUCCACAAAAUAACAACAAAAAAAUAUUAACCAAACUCCACCCAACAGGAGUAAACGUUGCUAUUUCAUAUAUUUUUCAAAUUUUACUUGGGUUCUAGAAUAUCGAGCGGCCAUUAGGGUCAAUAAUUAUGUUUUUCAGUGUUCUCGAAUUUCAAGCGAUCACAGGGACUUUUUAUGCCGUCAGAGCCUGGUCAUUGGCAGAAUAGAUAUAUACUCAUAAUAAGAAUAAUCAAAAGUAGCCAGAGGAAGAGGCCAAAAGUUAAUAGGUUGAGGAAAUUAUGUGUGUGUGUGUGUGUGUGUGUGUUGUUUCGUGCGGACAAAGAAAAAAAAUGUUUAUUAUGAGCAUACUGAACCAUUUUCUGGGGCUAUUUUAGACACGUAGAAUUGCUUGUUUUCUGCGCCAUCUUCCCCUGCUGGUGGUCUGGCUCAUUUUCCACCUGCCCGCUCACACUUCCGUUGCGUGGAGGUAAUAUUUAGGGCAGGUAUUUAUGAUUGACGCUUCAAGACUCCGCUGAACACAAGUAAUAGCAGCUCUAGCUCUAGCCGCGUCUAGCGUUUACUGUAUAACUCAUUUUCCCGUUUCGGAGUUUCGGACAGCAGGUUCAUUUCUAACAGACUGGUUCGAAGCAGUCAAGGAUUUUAGAGUUCAACCUCGAGACUCCUUGGAAACGACACACACAGUCCAGUUGCCUCCCUUGCCUUCUCCGGGUAGGGCCAGAGGACGAGGAUGUGGUUUUGUGUUUCUGGACAGUGUUUAACUUUGCGCUCUGAAGGAGAAGAAAAUGAGGACCGUCACCACACUCAGAAUAUCGGCACCGUCUCCCACACCCUAAUGCUGCCGGACGAGGAGAACUGACCAAUCACAAGCUCGAGGAAGUAGAGUGGCUGACAAGUUCAGGGAUAAAAAAUAACUGAGGUUAGGACAAUUAGGUAAGGGAUGAGGAAGGCGCCGCCACCAUUAUCAAAGGCGGCUGUUGGGAACCUCCACACGUUGCCCAGCCCGACGGAGGUGGCCAUGCAAGCCAUGAUGAAUUCUACAGGGCGGUCCCACUGGUCCCUUGCCUCAUUUGCUAGAUUCUGUUUACAAGGAGAUGCUAAGAGACAUAUUAUGAACUCCAACAAGCACUCACUCACUCCAUCUCUAAUCUGCUUGGGUAAUCUGCUAACAGGACUGAUGAAGGACAUAGGUUCGUCACUUUAAUACAGGAAAGUUGUUGGGCACUUGAAAGUAAAAUACAUGUCCUUCCUUUGUACUUGUUUUGUUAGCCACUAAAAUUAAGAUGUAACUCUUUACCUGCUGGCCUUGGUGUCUUUGCAGGGAUGUAACAGUAGUGUUCAAACUAAAAGAUGCAUUAUUUCCUGUUUUGCACAGUUCUUCCUCUGGUGUCAAACCAUUAUCAUCUAGCUGCUUGAUAGGCAAUAGAUAAUUUGUAAGAAAAACAGGGGAUGGAGUUACAUAUCCUUUAAUAUGCUCUUUAUCAUAGCUGGGCGUUAUCGUGAUAAGUUAUCGCGAUACUUUAUCGCUGAUAACAAAAUCGGGUUAUCGGCCAUCCGCUACUUAUAUAAAUAUAUCGGUAUCUUCGUUACUUUUGUAACCAAACUAGCGAGUCGCUACUUUUUUCCGCCUCUGAGAAAAAAAAAAGUCUCCUUCCUACUGCGCAUGCGUAGCCCGGGCGCCCGGUGUUGUAUGAAAAACUUUGGGGUAUGAAAUAUCUUCGGUGAAGAGAUUUCAUACUUUGAUCAUCAACAUUAAAACACUAGGUUAUUUUUUGUUUGACUCAAAAAUGAAUAUAUCUGAGAAAAAUCAUUCAUUUAACUUUGCCCCAAAAAUGAUUAUUCACUGCCUCAAAUUUGAUAUUCCAUAUUCGUUUGUGAGCAUGCCAUGGUAUUGAAGGCACCCGGUGUUGUGUUAUUUGGUGUCCCAUCGUCAAAAACUGCCGCCUUUGUUUACAAACAGUGGUCUCUCGUGAACUGCGCAUGUUCAGACCAGUAAGCGUAGCCCUGUAUAGUCUCACAAAGCUUUUUAACACAUUAAGAGUUGUUGGAAGGCUGAAUCAGACAUACACUACCACCAUCCUCGCUGUUUCUAGAACGACACUCUGUACAUAUAAAUACAAAUCGUACAGAGUGUCGUUCUAGAAACAGCGGGGAUGGAAGCAGUGGUUCAGCCUUCCAGCAUCUCUUGAUUACCGUUAAAAAGCUUUGUGAGUGUACAGGUCAACGCUUACUGGUCUGAGCAUGCGCAGUUCACGAGAGACCAGUGUUUGAAAUAUAAGCGCCAGCUUUUGAUGGUGAGGACGCCAAAUAACACAACACCGGUUCAGGCGCUUCUACUAUUACCGUCCAUAAAUGGAUGCACAUGUGAAUUGGUUACCACAGUCUGCUGGUGAGAACAUUACUGGCAGUAGAGAGGUAGUGAGUGACUGCACCCAAGUGGUGCGAGAAAACAGACCAGCGUUGCUUCUGCUCUUCUGGCGGCAGAUCCUCGAUGCCUGCUAGUGCAUCUGUCAGUACCGAAAAGGCAAGGGCGAUGUGGUUGUCACUGGUACUAGGCGAGAUGACAACAUGGCUGGAAAUGAAAAUAUCACCAAUAGCAGUGAUCUCCUUUCAUCUACACACCAAAAACAAUUUUCAUUGAUCUAAGAAUGUCAUUCACUCACUUGAACAGUGGGUGUCCUGGUAGCCCACGAGGGUCCAAGAAGGCCCUGUCCACCAUCAUCAUCUGGUCAUUCAGCUGACGUGCCACAAGGACACUGCAGUAAGAGAAAGGUGGCACCUACCUGGGCAUCAGCAAGGUCCACAGCCACCACCGCCCACAGCUGUGUGAGGGCUGCAUGGAAAUAGAAUCCUUGGUCAAACAGUUCAUCCACUGCUGCAAAGGUUUCAUACAGGGUGUGGUACAGGGGCUGAGUAUAC